This 67-nucleotide microRNA precursor is filed under the name Bombyx mori (domestic silkworm). RNAcentral describes it as "mir-2774 microRNA precursor family". It matches the Rfam family "mir-2774 microRNA precursor family". The record is from Rfam by way of RNAcentral. Lineage: Eukaryota; Metazoa; Arthropoda; Insecta; Lepidoptera; Bombycidae.
AAAACAUUGGGAUCGUCGGUCUACCGAACAAAUACACCGGUUUUGUGAAAGAUCUUCCCUUUGUCGU